Molecule: unclassified non-coding RNA, 276 nt
Filed under: Hevea brasiliensis (rubber tree)
Lineage: Eukaryota; Viridiplantae; Streptophyta; Magnoliopsida; Malpighiales; Euphorbiaceae
Source: RNAcentral
GAUGCCUUGCAUACGAAUUAUAUGGUGAGAGUUAUUUGAUUUGGUGUGCCAGUUCCUAUUUGCAACUAAUAUAAUUGGCUCUUUUGCUUGUUUCGGAAGGACAAAAAAUUGCAGGAAAGAAGAAAAGAAAAGCUUUUGGGUUAAAAUGUUAUGAAUCUGUUUUAUGUUCAAGAUUUUGAUGACAUACUUUGGAAAUGAUAGCUUUGAGGGUUCAAUAUUUUUUUUUGUCUGGUGGGGCUAUAUUUUUAAAAUAGCCACCAAAAAACAUUUGGAAGG